Molecule: transfer RNA, 76 nt
Filed under: Ligilactobacillus agilis
Lineage: Bacteria; Bacillati; Bacillota; Bacilli; Lactobacillales; Lactobacillaceae
Description: tRNA-Arg
Rfam family: tRNA
About the family: Transfer RNA (tRNA) molecules are approximately 80 nucleotides in length. Their secondary structure includes four short double-helical elements and three loops (D, anti-codon, and T loops). Further hydrogen bonds mediate the characteristic L-shaped molecular structure. tRNAs have two regions of fundamental functional importance: the anti-codon, which is responsible for specific mRNA codon recognition, and the 3' end, to which the tRNAs corresponding amino acid is attached (by aminoacyl-tRNA synthetases). tRNAs cope with the degeneracy of the genetic code in two manners: having more than one tRNA (with a specific anti-codon) for a particular amino acid; and 'wobble' base-pairing, i.e. permitting non-standard base-pairing at the 3rd anti-codon position.
Source: RNAcentral
UGGAUCGGUAGCUCAGCUGGAUAGAGCAUCCGCCUUCUAAGCGGACGGUCGAGAGUUCGAAUCUCUCCCGAUUCAU